UACGGAGGGUGCAAGCGUUAAUCGGAAUUACUGGGCGUAAAGCGCACGUAGGUGGUUUUCUAAGUCAGCUGUGAAAUCCCCGGGCUCAACCUGGGACUUGCAGUUGAAACUGGAAAGCUAGAGUAGGGUAGAGGGGUGUGGAAUUCCAGGUGGAGCGGUGAAAUGCGUAGAGAUCGGAAAGAACACCAACGGCGAAAGCAACUCUGCUGGGCCGACACUGACACUGAGAGACGAAAGCUAGGGGAGCGAAUGGG
RNAcentral lists this ribosomal RNA (254 nucleotides) under uncultured bacterium. RNAcentral's name for it is "partial 16S ribosomal RNA". It matches the Rfam family "Bacterial small subunit ribosomal RNA", at positions 524 to 776 of the family's 1533-position model. The record is from RNAcentral.